GGAGGCUUGGCAGAGCGGUCGAAUGCGGCGGUCUUGAAAACCGUUGACCCUUCACGGGGUCCGUGGGUUCGAAUCCCACAGCCUCCGCCA
Molecule: transfer RNA, 90 nt
Filed under: Roseivivax marinus
Lineage: Bacteria; Pseudomonadati; Pseudomonadota; Alphaproteobacteria; Rhodobacterales; Roseobacteraceae
Also listed under: 3 other names
Description: tRNA-Ser
Rfam family: tRNA
About the family: Transfer RNA (tRNA) molecules are approximately 80 nucleotides in length. Their secondary structure includes four short double-helical elements and three loops (D, anti-codon, and T loops).
Source: RNAcentral